Molecule: long non-coding RNA, 2204 nt
Filed under: Aquilegia coerulea
Lineage: Eukaryota; Viridiplantae; Streptophyta; Magnoliopsida; Ranunculales; Ranunculaceae
Description: long non-coding RNA (ACOE_LNC000450)
Source: RNAcentral
AAAAAGGAUCAAGACAGUAAUCUAAAUAAACAUUUGCACCAGGUAAAAAUCCAUAACUAUUUAAAGUCAAGUACUUCAACACAAAUAGUUUGGACUCCCAAUAGUUUCCAUAAAUAAUCCAAAAACUCCAAAUAUCGAAUUAAACAACUCCAACUGAGGUACUAUAUUCCCCAAUCAACAAUAAUCCAAUAAAUGAAAUAAACUAGAAUAAUCCAUUGACAAACAAAUCAAAGAACUAAACCUACUAUGAAAUAUAACUUCUACGAUCUCAAACUCCUUCCCGAACAACUGGAUCUACACGAGCUUCCUGGUGUUGCUCCCGAUCGUACUCAACUGGCUGCUCUCCUCCACCUACGCUCCAUAAGGAUACGUACCCACGUGCAAAACAAGCAACAUGGGUCAGCAAACUAUGCUGGUAUGAGUAGACGAGGGUAGGGAACUCCAUUCCCAAAAACAAUAAAAUAACACUCCGCGGUCUUUAUACAUUUAUCUCGUUUACUAAGUAAAUAUUAUAUGUUAUAAUAAUACAUUACCUGAGCUGCACCUCCUAUUAGGAUAGGUCGAGCCCUGCAAGAAAUGUUAAUUGACCUAUCCUCAUGCAAAACUGUGUUAGUACAAUAAUAUAUAAUUCAUGGCAUCUCAAGUCUCGAUACUAUAUCACAAUCAUUACAAAUCAAUCAUUACACCCAAACAACACUUCACAACCUAUACCCAAUCACUAGUAUAUCUCCCACAGGAUGCACUCCACACAUUUAUCAUACCCACACUGCACCAGUGUGCCUUGACCAUGGUUAAGACCCUCUACGCAGAAACCAAAACCCAAGUGGGUGCUCACCUGCGAGCUUUGGCUAGCUUCGACGUAUGCCUAACUCAUGGCCUCUACUAGCUCCCUUGAGCUUUCUAAAGUGGCGCCCAGACCAACCCCGAAGGCUAUGAAGGUCUGUAGGGUCAGUUCCGCAGGCUAAGCCGUCUAGGAAAUACCCAACAAAAAUAUAUAUAUAUAUAUAUAUUCCAAGUGUCAAUCCGCAGGCUUAGCCGUCUAGGGUGAUAUCUAAAUUCCUUAAUCUUAAUUCCACAGGUGCGGCAAAUGUACUUAUAAUUGGGUGACUACUAAAACUAGAUAAAUCAAGCAAUCACACAACAUCAUUCGAUCAUAGAACACAUAAACUCAAAAUUUCCAAAUCCUAAAUCCAUUCGGUAUUUCUUUUCCUUUUUCCCAUGUAAAUACACCGUCCAUGGUGUCGGCCAUUCCAAGGCAUUUAACAUAAAUUCUCAAAAUUUAGGAAUAAUCUCUUUUAUAAAUAUUUCCUCUAUAAACAUUAAAUUCCAUGGCAUGCAUAACCAUACAGAAAACAAAAAUCCAAGUCAUUUACUAUUAAUUUCGAUACACCACAGUAGCAUGAAAGCCUUAAUUCAAUAUAAUCAAACCAUACCAUCAGAACCCAUUUAAACCAGUACGCACCCGCUCGAUAACUUUUAUACUGUCAUCAGUUUUAAAACAUGUUUUUCAGUAAAAGCUUUCCACCAAAACAUAUUAAUAAAAUAAAAAAUAAAUUUCCAGAAAAACUGCCUCAUAUAACAAAGCAAUAUAUAAAAUUUCAACCUUUCAGUAUCUCUUUUUAGUAUGGGUAACCAUAUAUUAACAGUCGAUGCAUACCAAAAUCACGACAUCUGAUCACGUCAACCUUACAUUAUAAGCAUAUCACGUUAUGAAAAUUACUCCCUUUUUUUUUUAAUCAUCAGUAACUAGUUAUCUUCCACAACAAAAUAUAAUCAAACCCAUGUAUAUAUAUACUAAGUAGUACAUAGUUUAGAAAAAAAAACUAAAUCUACUCACCGUUAUUGCUGGUCGUCCACUUCUUCCCUUCCAAAUUCUUUUCUAAAACACCAAAUCUCUGCAACCCUUAAGUUUUCCAACUUCUUCUUCUUCCAAAAUUCUGAUCGCCGCCACUCUCUCUCUCUCUCUCUUUUUUUUAUCGCAAAACAAAUUUUAAAAUCUUUGCUGCCCAUAAAUAGAGAAUGCAUAAACCUAAGCUAAUUGAUCGUGUUUCCGAAGUAGCCGGAAACAAUUCUGAUCGUGUUCCGAAGUCCAAGGGAAGAAAACUGUUCGUGGGAUAUAUUUCAGCAAGUUUGGUUUAAUUAAACCAUAGUCCUCCCACUUUAUAUUAAUUAUGCUUAAACCCUUGGUCCAGGGACUUGCACCC